GCAUAACGCGAAGAACCUUACCCACCUUUGACAUGUACGGAAUCCUGCAGAGAUGCGGGAGUGCUCGCAAGAGAGCCGUAACACAGGUGCUGCAUGGCUGUCGUCAGCUCGUGUCGUGAGAUGUUGGGUUAAGUCCCGCAACGAGCGCAACCCUUGCCAUCAGUUGCUACGAAAGGGCACUCUGAUGGGACUGCCGGUGACAAACCGGAGGAAGGUGGGGAUGACGUCAAGUCCUCAUGGCCCUUAUAGGUGGGGCUACACACGUCAUACAAUGGCCGGUACAAAGGGCAGCGAAGCCGCGAGGUGAAGCCAAUCCCAUAAAGCCGGUCGUAGUCCGGAUCGCAGUCUGCAACUCGACUGCGUGAAGUCGGAAUCGCUAGUAAUCGUGGAUCAGCAUGUCACGGUGAAUACGUUCCC
RNAcentral lists this ribosomal RNA (417 nucleotides) under uncultured bacterium. RNAcentral describes it as "bacterial SSU rRNA". It matches the Rfam family "Bacterial small subunit ribosomal RNA", at positions 954 to 1375 of the family's 1533-position model. The record is from RNAcentral.